RNAcentral lists this ribosomal RNA (745 nucleotides) under uncultured Propionibacterium sp. RNAcentral's name for it is "bacterial SSU rRNA". It matches the Rfam family "Bacterial small subunit ribosomal RNA", at positions 105 to 856 of the family's 1533-position model. Lineage: Bacteria; Bacillati; Actinomycetota; Actinomycetes; Propionibacteriales; Propionibacteriaceae. The record is from RNAcentral.
GGUGAGUAACACGUAAGGUAACCUGCCCCUUGACUUUGGGAUCACCUUCCAGGAAACUGGGGGCUAAUACGGGAUAGGAGCUUCAUGCCGCAUGGUGGGGGUUGGAAAGUUUCGGCGGUUGGGGAUGUACUCGCGGCUUAUCAGCUUGUUGGUGGGGUAGUGGCUUACCAAGGCUUUGACGGGUAGCCGGCCUGAGAGGGUGACCGGCCACAUUGGGACUGAGAUACGGCCCAGACUCCUACGGGAGGCAGCAGUGGGGAAUAUUGCACAAUGGGCGGAAGCCUGAUGCAGCAACGCCGCGUGCGGGAUGACGGCCUUCGGGUUGUAAACCGCUUUCGCCUGUGACGAAGCGUGAGUGACGGUAAUGGGUAAAGAAGCACCGGCUAACUACGUGCCAGCAGCCGCGGUGAUACGUAGGGUGCGAGCGUUGUCCGGAUUUAUUGGGCGUAAAGGGCUCGUAGGUGGUUGAUCGCGUCGGAAGUGUAAUCUUGGGGCUUAACCCUGAGCGUGCUUUCGAUACGGGUUGACUUGAGGAAGGUAGGGGAGAAUGGAAUUCCUGGUGGAGCGGUGGAAUGCGCAGAUAUCAGGAGGAACACCAGUGGCGAAGGCGGUUCUCUGGGCCUUUCCUGACGCUGAGGAGCGAAAGCGUGGGGAGCGAACAGGCUUAGAUACCCUGGUAGUCCACGCUGUAAACGGUGGGUACUAGGUGUGGGGUCCAUUCCACGGGUUCCGUGCCGUAGCUAAC